UCCAGACUCCUACGGGAGGCAGCAGUGAGGAAUAUUGGUCAAUGGGAGAGAUCCUGAACCAGCCAAGCCGCGUGAGGGAAGACGGCCCUAUGGGUUGUAAACCUCUUUUGUCGGAGAACAAAACCCGGGACGAGUCCCGGACUGCGUGUAUCCGAAGAAAAAGCAUCGGCUAACUCCGUGCCAGCAGCCGCGGUAAUACGGAGGAUGCGAGCGUUAUCCGGAUUUAUUGGGUUUAAAGGGUGCGUAGGCGGUCUGUUAAGUCAGCGGUAAAAUUGCGGGGCUCAACCCCGUCGAGCCGUUGAAACUGGCAGACUUGAGUUGGCGAGAAGUACGCGGAAUGCGCGGUGUAGCGGUGAAAUGCAUAGAUAUCACGCAGAGCCCCGAUUGCGAAGGCAGCAUACCGGCGCCCUACUGACGCUGAGGCACGAAAGUGCGGGUAUCGAACAGGAUUAGAUACCCCAGUACG
This 466-nucleotide ribosomal RNA is filed under the name uncultured bacterium. Its description in RNAcentral is "bacterial SSU rRNA". It matches the Rfam family "Bacterial small subunit ribosomal RNA", at positions 330 to 793 of the family's 1533-position model. The record is from RNAcentral.